This 3180-nucleotide long non-coding RNA is filed under the name Androctonus crassicauda. Lineage: Eukaryota; Metazoa; Arthropoda; Arachnida; Scorpiones; Buthidae. The record is from RNAcentral.
UCAGGUUAUUUAAGAUAAGAUAUAUAUAUGUAUAAUUUUUUUUUAAUUUAUUCGAUGCAAAUAUGGAGAUUUCCAGUUAUAUAAAGGUACCUUCAUCCGACUGAAAGAUCUCGGAUUCGAUUUCGAAUAAGGAUGUUUUCGGAAUUUAAAAUCUAUUCUGUGUGAGAGAUCUGGCUCCUGGCAAGCUGAGAAAGAGGAAAGAAAUAAUGAUUCGUGCGAGAAAAGCUCAAAACUAUUUUACCAAUGCUAGUAAACAUUUUUUAAAGGUGCUCGUCACACUAUAGUUUAUUAAAAUCCGUGAAUGGAGAGAGAAAACCAUUAUAAAAUCGUUAAAACUCGAACGAUUAUAAAAUAUUCGGAAGUUUAUUUUAUGAUGUGUUUGCAUAACUUUAUUAAAUUUUUAUAUUUAUUAAAAAUAUAUAAAAGUAGUAUGGAGUUGUUAUUUUUGGAAAGAAACGAGCAGCGUGCAGAUUCGAUGGGAGUUAUCUCGGAGAUCCCUCUUUAGCCAUACAUGGCAUGGGAACCAAUAUGGCCAUUAUUAGUCAGCAGUCUGCAAUGUGGGGACAACUCCGCCUGGGAUAUCCUGUUCAUUCCACAUUUAAUGUUGAUUGGUCCGAGAUAGAUAGAUUAUAAUGCGAUUUAUCCUGUGGUCGGUAAAUUUUCUUCUCUGGUUGGUUGAAUUGGUUGACAGUAGGUGGGAUGGAAUUCACGUUCUGGAACGAUUUUUUUUUUUAUACAAUAUGGGUGGAGCAUUAAUUUUUUAAUGUUAUGCAGAUACAUAAACAGUAGGUCAAGGGGCAAAAACUUUCAUACCGUGAAAGAGGAAAAAUACUUGAAAUAUUUCAAUUAGCAUGUUUUAUAGUCAUUCGAGUAGUUUCGGUUUGUCUAUAUUUGGUAAAGUUUUAAUGGUUUUAAAAUUAAUGAGAUAAGAUCCUUUACGUGAAUGGAUUAUGCAAUGCUCCUCAUUGUCGUUUAUAAUUUUGUUUAACUUUAUACAGCGGUUAAGCAACUUAAUUAGUUUUCAGAAAUGCUACUUAAAAUUUGAAUUUUUUCUCACGUUUUUUUAAUGGAACUUCUUACAACAUUUACGGCUGUUAUCUCUUUAUAUUAACAUUUAUCUAGUGGAAAUGAGUAAUUUGUUGACAUUUUCUUUGCAUUUUUCACUCAGAAUUUUAUAUAGUUUUUAUACAAAGACGAUCCUGUUAUCCAUAUUCCUUAAAACUUUCUAGAAUUUGCCCCAACUUGCUCAGGUGUUUCGCGCCCCUUUAGGGUUUAUACGUGGCAUAUUAUCGAAUUUUAAAAAUAAUUCGGCGAAUAGGAGGAUUCUUGUUAAGAUAAAUCUGAGAAAGUAUCGAUUUCAUUCUCAUUUAUCGCAAUGUCACAACAGAAGCGAGUUAACCAUCCUGGUAUAAUUAGCUGAACAAGUAACGGUUAUGAAGAUAGAUAGCGAUCAAAUACAAUAUUUUGUCUCCAUUACUUCCUGGUCUCCUUAGAUUCCUUUGUCUCUGUAAAGGAAGAGUUAAGAUAUGCUGAACGAUCAAAGCAUUCGGCUCAGCAUGCAAGAAUAAACAUACACGCAAUAAACAUAUUAUCGCUGCUUCAUGUUCUCCGACCAUAAGUCACAAGUGUUGCCUCGCUUGAGAUUAGUUUUUAACGAGUCUGCUCUUUUAAUAUUUAUUUUUGAAAUUAUGGUACGGCUUUUGAUUUUGACUAUUUUCGAUUUAAUCUCUACUGUUUGCAUUGUUUCCUCCCGUAAUCUUCCAGACUUUUCUACUUCGUAAUCUCAAAAAAAGUACCUUUCCGAAUCUUGUUUUAUCUAUGUUCGCUCCAAGUCGGCGAUGGCUGAGAUCAUUCGUAUAGAGUUAAGAUAUUCAUGUUAAAGAAUCAAAAACAAUGAACGAUAACUUGUUGUUCCCUAUUAAACAACUCUAGGAUCAUCUGUAAAGUUUAUAACAACUUCAAUACAUUUUUAGCAGUUCUCGAUUAUAGAAGAAAUUUCUGCAUUAGGAUUUUUGAAAAAUUAAUCGAAAAAGAUAGUACAGGUACUGGAGUAUAUAACUUUAUAUAAUAAAGAGAAUUUUCUUUAUUACAGAUUCGCGGUCUACCAAUAAGAGAUAAGUUAUUGAUUUUCUGUUGACAUUACAUAUAUGACCUCAUUUUAUGUCCUAGUAACUUUCUUGUAUCGUGUUUGUACAUAUAUUCUAUAUAAUUUUGUUACAGAGCAGCAACAGAUAAUCUACUUCCACUUCUUAAAUAAGUAACUAUUUAAAUUUCAGUUUCUUAAUAUCAGUUUAAUGCAUCUGGCAUUGCUAUAAACUAAUAAUCUGGUUUGUUGUAACCAAGUUUUAGAUAUAACGAGCUCUGAGUGACAUGACAUAAAUAUUGGAUUCGUCGCAUUUUGUAGGCCUAUAGCCUAUACACAUAUUAUAAAUGUGACCAUUCGAUUAAUUUGUCGUUUAAAAGCUGCUUUUUAGGUAAUUUUUAAAGCAUAGGAACGAUUCAUCCAACUUCAGUAGAGAAGUUGACAGACUUGAUUCGCCAUUAAUCUAAAAUAGGUAAAUGCGUGCUUUUCUUAAUCCCACUUAAGUUGAAUAAUCUUACCUCUUAACUGUGGAGAGCAUCAAGUUUUUCAUCGAACCAGACUUUAUUCUGCUUUAUAGAAAGAUGUAUGUGGUAAAUGGGUACGAAACCGAACCGUCCAAGCACAUCAGACCGAAUUAGGUUAGAGGGAUUUUCUCAUUGCAGAGAAUAACAACCAAUUAACGACUCGUAACGGAAAAAAAUCUUUAUUUUAUUGCAUUUUGAUUUAUGAGGACGUAUUGUUUUCUCUGUAAAUUUGUUUUAAAAACUCGUAAAGAUAACCGUCGUAGACAUCCGAAGAAGAAUAUCUGGACGUUUUCGGAUUUAUAACAUAAUUCGGUUCAUCCAUUUUCAUUACGGUAAGAUGUUAGAAAGUAAAACCUUUAGAUUUAAAUACUUCAUAAGAUGCUUAAUUAGAUAAUAACUAUAAUUAAUUACUAUUUAACAUUGCAAACUUAAUAUUUACAAAUUUUCGAAAAUCUGUUGCAAUGUUUAAAAUGGUUCUACAAACUCUACAUGUUGCUUCUCUUUCGGAGAUUCAUCCUUACGAACAUGACCAAACAGUUAUAAAAGUAUGUAGAUAAAUUUAAGUAUCGAGAU